RNAcentral lists this ribosomal RNA (293 nucleotides) under Escherichia coli. RNAcentral's name for it is "partial 16S ribosomal RNA". It matches the Rfam family "Bacterial small subunit ribosomal RNA", at positions 587 to 1066 of the family's 1533-position model. Lineage: Bacteria; Pseudomonadati; Pseudomonadota; Gammaproteobacteria; Enterobacterales; Enterobacteriaceae. The record is from RNAcentral.
GUCAGAUGUGAAAUCCCCGGGCUCAACCUGGGAACUGCAUCUGAUACUGGCAAGCUUGAGUCUCGUAGAGGGGGGUAGAAUUCCAGGUGUAGCGGUGAAAUGCGUAGAGAUCUGGAGGAAUACCGGUGGCGAAGGCGGCCCCCUGGACGAAGACUGACGCUCAGGUGCGAAAGCGUGGGGAGCAAACGCGAAGAACCUUACCUGGUCUUGACAUCCACAGAACUUUCCAGAGAUGGAUUGGUGCCUUCGGGAACUGUGAGACAGGUGCUGCAUGGCUGUCGUCAGCUCGUGUU